CUGCCAUGUGGCAUAUGAAGAAAUAGGUUCCACAAAAGAAUUCUUCUAUUGAAUGUAUGCUUCUUAUUUAUGGUCUUGGAUAAAUAAAAGUUGUCAAAUAACUAGAUUUUCUUCCUUUCUCACAAAGGAAUUGUCUACUGAAGGGACAACCUUUUCAAAGUACUUUGUUAUGCAUCUGACAAGUGUAUGACUGGUGAUGGUGUACUGGAUAAUAGUGUCCUGGAGAGCCUUAACAGCUGAAAAUGUGUAUAUUAUGAGGAAAUUUAUGGACAUCUGAACUGCUGAAAUUUAAACAGAUUCAAAGAAAGAAGAACCUGACAGAAUCAGUGUUACAUUUCAGGAACUACCAGUCACUUGUCCAGAGGAAGAAUUAGAAUGAUAUUCAGAGUGUUUGGAAACAGAGGCAAAAGGGCAAGAGGUGUCCACAAUUACAAAAUUACAGCUUUGAUUCUGAAGUGAACAUACUGACAUAUGAAAUCCACCCUAGAAGUCUCGUUCUCAGAAAACUACAUCUAAUCAGUCCUUAAAUUUCUCUUUGGUAGCUACUUAAUAUAGUUGAAAGUAAUCUAAAUAAAAUACUGAAGAAGAUUGUAUGGCAUUUGUUUUCAGAGAUCUUACGCACACAUUGAAGCAGGUGACCUGUAUUUG
This 648-nucleotide long non-coding RNA is filed under the name Gallus gallus (chicken). RNAcentral describes it as "lncRNA (ENSGALG00010002594.1)". Lineage: Eukaryota; Metazoa; Chordata; Aves; Galliformes; Phasianidae. The record is from RNAcentral.